CCAAUGUCUGGGGGGAUGGAGGCUUUGACGCCCCGAGUUGGCAGCUUAACUUUAAGCAUCCAGUCCCUAAACGAAUGCGAAACCUUUUCAGGUACGUAAUAGGUUUGCCAUAUAAACUUGCUAGCAUGUGCUUGGAAGGACGUUUGCUCCACGCCUCCCUACUUGCCACUGGUUCCCUUAUGCACACGAAGGUGCUAUGAUUAAUGCUAGUAACUUUGAUGCAGUUUGGAUUGUUACUGUACUCAUUGUCAAUUGAUCUAAAAAGGGCCCCACAAAGGGGCGGUUCCCUAGUCUGCAGCCUUGAUAUUACUUUAUGCCCAUGCGGUGGAGCAAUUGAAGCGAUACACUGGCAAUGCAGUCAUUGACCUUGAAGAAUUUCACCAAGCUGCAUUGGCUAGCCCAGCCCUCGCUCUGGCAUGCCCUUUGUAGGGACAGAACUGGAAGAAAGACUAGGCCUGGAACACUAGCCACCGGCACUAGCCAUGCUUCGGAAGGCGCGGGAGUUCCUCAGACCCUCUUUCAGUACGUGGGCCCUAUGGUGACAUCAUUCAUCACCCACGGCCCCUGCUUCGACGUAUUCGGUUCAGUUUUAC
This 593-nucleotide small RNA is filed under the name Histoplasma capsulatum. RNAcentral's name for it is "hypothetical RNA". The record is from RNAcentral. RNAcentral also lists the same sequence under 1 other name. Lineage: Eukaryota; Fungi; Ascomycota; Eurotiomycetes; Onygenales; Ajellomycetaceae.